Molecule: ribosomal RNA, 407 nt
Filed under: uncultured bacterium
Lineage: Bacteria
Description: bacterial SSU rRNA
Rfam family: Bacterial small subunit ribosomal RNA
Source: RNAcentral
AACGAACGCUGGCGGCGUGCCUAACACAUGCAAGUCGUGCGAGAAAGUUCCUUCGGGAGCGAGUAAAGCGGCGCACGGGUGAGUAACACGUAGGUAACCUGCCCCCCAGUCUGGAACAACUAGAGGAAACUCUAGCUAAUGCCGGAUGAGACCACGAUCCCUUCGGGGGUUGCGGCCAAAGAUGGCCUCUACUUGUAAGCUAUCGCUGAGGGAUGGGCCUGCGGGCCAUUAGCUUGUUGGUGAGGUAACGGCUCACCAAGGCUGUGAUGGCUAGCUGGUCUGAGAGGAUGACCAGCCACACUGGGACUGAGACACGGCCCAGACUCCACGGGAGCAGCAGUGGGAAUAUUGCGCAAUGGGCGAAAGCCUGACGCAGCGACGCCGCGUGGGUGAUGAAGGCCUGGUCG